Molecule: ribosomal RNA, 774 nt
Filed under: uncultured Neocallimastigales
Lineage: Eukaryota; Fungi; Neocallimastigomycota; Neocallimastigomycetes; Neocallimastigales
Description: partial large subunit ribosomal RNA
Rfam family: Eukaryotic large subunit ribosomal RNA
Source: RNAcentral
UAUGUGAUCGUCUCUCGCAUAUCAAUAAGCGGAGGAAAAGAAACUAACAAGGAUUCCCCUAGUAACGGCGAGUGAAGCGGGAAGAGCUCAAAUUUGAAAUCUUAAAGGGUUUCCCUUUACGAAUUGUAGUUUAAAGAAGUGUUUUCUGUUGAGGUUUUGGUAAAAGUUCUUUGGAAUAGGACAUCAUAGAGGGUGAGAAUCCCGUAUUUGACCUUUACUUUCAACUUUGUGAUACACUUUCAAAGAGUCGGAUUGUUUGGGAAUGCAGUCCAAAAUGGGUGGUAAAUUUCAUCUAAAGCUAAAUAUUGGCGAGAGACCGAUAGCGAACAAGUACCGUGAGGGAAAGAUGAAAAGAACUUUGAAAAGAGAGUUAAACAGUACGUGAAAUUGUCAAAAGGGAAGCGUUUGACACCAGUGUUGUUUUUCUGAAAAUCAAUUAAAGAACUGUUUAUGCUAAGUUGUUUAGACUUUAUCAGCUAUCUGUUUAGUUUUGAGCUUUUCUUUAAUGCACUUUUCAGUUAACAAGUCAACAUCAAUUUCUUUUGCUGUAAAAGAGCUUGAGGAAGGUGGCUUGAGAUUCGUCUUAAGUGUUUAUAGCCUCUUGCCUAUGCAGUCGGAGAGAUUGAGGUCUGCAGCGUAGAUCCUUCGGGGCUAAAUGCAUUUGUGCUAAGUUAUAGCAUUUUAUAGACAACUUGUUGACUAUGAUUUGUCUUGUAGCUUACUCGCUUAUGUUAUUUUACCUACGCUUAGGAUGUUGAUCUACAGAGCGAGAGU